Manis javanica (Malayan pangolin) is the source of this 5265-nucleotide non-coding RNA. The record is from RefSeq and is a predicted model, not a curated record. NCBI's taxonomy places the organism in Eukaryota, Metazoa, Chordata, Mammalia, Pholidota, Manidae.
GCCACAUUGAUUACCGGGAGUAUGAGGGCCGCGGUCUCUCUCAUGAUCGAAGAAGUGGUCCGCCUCACAGAGAUGAGUCUGGCUACAGGUGGACAAGAGAUGAUCAUUCUGUAGGCCGACAGCCUGAAUACAGAAACAACAAAACUUUUUUAUAUCAGUGUGGACUCUUAUUUUAUUCAGCGUGUUCUGAACCGUUGCCAUCUUUCUUUUGAUGCCUGGUUUUGGCCAGUGAGACUCCCUGCAAGUCAGCUUCGGUGUUUUUUAACAAGUAUUUUGUUGUGAUGGAAUAUAUGUAACAUAAGGUAUGCCAUUCUAACUAUUUUUAAAUGCACAAUUCACUGGCACUAAUUAUAUUCAUAAUGUUGGGCAACCACCAGGUCUAAUUCCAUAUUUUUUCACCAUUCCACAUAGAAGCUAUGUACCUGGUAAGCAGUAACUGCCCAUCCCUUACCCCCAGCCCCUGGCAGCCACCCUUCUACUUCCUGUCUUUAUGGAUUUGCUUACUGUGGGCAUUUCCUGUAAGUGGAAUUGCACAGUGUUUGUCCUCUCGUGUCCGGCUUUCACUUAGCUAAGUGUCUUCAAGGUUCAUCCAUGUUACAGCCUGUCAGGGUUCUGUUCCCUGUUAUUGGUGAAUAACGUUCCGUUGUAUGUUUAGACCAUAUUCUGUUUAUGCAUCCUCUAGUGGUCAUUUGGGUUGUUUCUACCUUUGGCCAUUGUAAGUGAACAUAGCCGUGUAAACGUCUGUUUUGAGUCCCUGUUUUCCUUUUGGGUGCACACCUUGCAGUAGAAGUGCUGGGUCAUAGAGUCAUUCCAUGUUUAGCUUUUUGAGGAAUCGCACACUGUUUUCCAUAGUGGCUGCACCCACCGAUGUACAAACUGCACCAUUUUACAUUCCCACUGAUGUAUGAGGGUACCAGUUUUCCACAUCUUCACCAACACUUUUUAAUAUUUUAUUGUGUGUGUGUGUGCUCAUGCUGUUAUAUUCAUUAGUUCUUUUUUUAAAUUAAAACCUAGAUUCCAAUUAUUUGUGGUUCUAGUUAUUUUGUAAAUGUGAUGUAGCUAUAGCAAGGUAAGAUCUAACUUGUUCAUGGGCAAUAUCUAUGUAAUGAUUCAUUCAUUAAUUCAUGGUGUAUUUUUUAAACUACACGGUGUCGUGGGAAUGAAAACGAGAGCCUCUAGAGGAGGUCGGUAAGUGGGACUUGCAUCGGUGUUUCUCCCAAGCAUCCUGAUGAUCGUGAUUCAGAGGAUCUAGAGACCGAAGUUCGACUCCUCAGGUCUUAAUAAUGGACAGGCUCUAUGUGUAGCCUUGGCUUCUUUUCUGAGCUGUACAUUCUAUAUCCAGCUGCCUGUUAGGCACAUUUUCACUUGGGAAUCCCAGACUUUUCAUUGAAAUGAAGUAUAUCCUUGAAAACACUUGUACCUCUUUUCUACACAUCUUUGGCAUGAAGGUGGGCCAUGUUCUCCAGCUAGGUAUGGUCAUGUGACUGUCCCUCGUGUAACGUGACUAGGAGUUCUGUGUCUGUGUGCUCUUCCACACAUGUCACACAUGUUCAUCUUCUCCCAAGUUCCCAAGUUGCAGGGUGGGUCCUGGAGUGGAGUGACAGUGGACAUGUGACCUUGGAAGCCGCAUGUUGGAACAGAGCUGUGGUCAGCCUGGGUUCUUGGAUGAUUGCCCGGAGCAGUCUCUCUCACCCUGGAAGGCCUCCCCUAGACUCUUUGUGGUAGUUAGAGUAAAUUCUUUUGUAAUAACUCAACGUUACAUUUUUUGGUAUUUUUGUUACAGCAAUUUAGGCAUAUUUUGCCUCUGUUGAGAACAGGCACUAUUUCAGGUGUUAGAGAUCAGAUGGUGGCUAACAUAGAUAAGAUCUGCAGUUCUGUUCGGGACAUCUCUCAGUCUGUAUCUCAUGCCUAGAAUUCUUUUAGGUUUGCCCUGCUCGUUACCAAACUGCUUUUUCAAAAUGAUUCCAGAAAUCUUAAUUCUUUUUUUAAAGUUCCUGUUGACUAGAAAUUAAGUAGCCAAUAUUGUGUGUUGGUUGUGGGAAGAAAAGAAAAAUGAGGUCCUGAAUAAGAAGUGAAAUGCUUUCUCUCUCCUUCCGAUUCCCCCUCAUAACCUUAUCUCUUGCUUCAGUGAUGUUUACUCGUAGCAGGUAGACAUACAUCUGCUGAAACUGAGGGCAUGACUUGUCUGGCGGGACUGGUGUGGAGGCUGCGGGUCACCUUGGAAUGUAAGUGAGUGCUUGGGGUCAGGUGGGAGCAUAUUUGGGGAGAAUCCUGAGCUCCAUAAAUCAUAUUUUAAACCAGCAUCCAAAGUAACUGUAGUGCAGAUGGUCCCAGGACCCCAUUUUGAAAAACAAGGCCUUAUAGGGGGUAGUUCCUCCCAUCUCCCAUCCUCCAGGCAGCUGCCUCUGUGCGUGCCCAGCGUUAGGGCUGAGAUGGUGGUGGUACAGCAAGGACACUGUCCUGCCUCUCAAGUAAAAUACUUUUUCAUAAUAAAAAGCAUCAGUUGAGGUAAAUAUGUAUUUGUUGUUGUUUUGUUCUUUCCAGUCGUACUGUUAUUUAGAUUUUUUCAAAGCCUCUUUUGAUUUGAUCUAUAAUUCAUUUUUGAAUCCAUCAUAUCAUGUAUGUUGAUAUCCUCAUUUUCUACAUAGAUGGAAGCCCUGUAGUUUGAAGGCUUUUGAUAUAAAGUUUUCUUUGCAUGGUAAAUGGAACUUUGUCUCGUGCAAUGCAGAGUUUUACCCUGUGGUUCAUGGAAUGACAUUUAAAAUGUGCCUAAGUUUCCCUUAUCCUAUUGUGCUAUUCAGCAUGCUUUAGGGUCAUAGUUAAAACAAACAAAAACCAAAAUUCUUUCUUAGAACCAGGUGAUAGUUGCACUGAGAAAACUAUGGUAGUUGAUACUGAUUAAAUUUAAUAGCUACUCAUGAGUGUUGGGACUAAUACAUUUUAAAAUAAAAAUAGUAUGAAUAAAGCUGUGAUAUUUCUGUCAAUCAGAUUUUUUCCUUUUUAAUCUUUUUUAGAAAGCAGUAACAAUAUGGAGAUUUCAUAUUUUACAUUUCAAGUACUUAAUGACAGUUGCAUAUGUGGCUUUGUUUUUAAUUUGUACGACAGGACUGUAUUUCAGUAACAGUGCUGUCCUUCAGGCAGCAGUACUGUGUGCAAACAGAAUGUCACAGUCCUUAGCCGUCUAGGGCCACCCUAAGGAACUUGGGCCCGAUGAGUCCAGGCUCGUCCGUUUCUGGUUCACCCUGCUGUACUGUGUCGCCCUGUGGGGUCUCAGCCCUCUUUCCAUGGUAAGAUCUGGAUUCGGUUUUAUGUCCUGAUCCUAUGAAGCUGUCAGUCAUUUCUCAGCAUUCCGUCCUCUGAGCUGCGGCAUCUGCAGUGGGCAGACAGAGGGAGAAGCAGCUCAGGAAGACAAGGCCCAGCUCGCCGGGCUUCUGGCCGCUCGGGCGUAUGGGUUCUGCACCUACAGGCUGCGUUCUCAGCUCGCUCAUGACUCCGGCAGAGUGCUGAGACGAAAACACUCCAUCCAGUUUUUCUAGAUUUUCUUCAGUCAAGUUAGUUGGAGUUAUUUUUUGGAUGAAGAAGUAUUUGGAUGUAGCAGUGGUGUUUUGUUCAAGUUGCAAAAAUUGGAGUAAAUCCUUAAAUAAUUGUAUCUUUGGCUUGAACUCUAUGAAAUACAAAUAUUUUUUGAGUAAUAUGUCAAAUUUUAUGAGUAGAAAAUGUCUAUUAAAUAUAUAGUAUAGAUUUAAAACUGUAAAUGAAUGCACAGAAAUACAAGCUGUUAAACCAAGAACAAUGGAAGACUUUGAAAUUUUCAAUUAGUGAUUAUUUUCUGUUUAUUUGUUCAUUAGUCAUUUGAUAGCAUUUGGUUGCAUAAGAUAUACUAGCAGGCCUCAAAGAUUUAAGAAAAACUAUGGGGGGAAAUAUCUUUAAACUUAAUCUUUUAUUAUAAAGGAUUGUUUAAAAAAGUUUUAUUUAUAAGAUUGUCCCUGAAUCUCUUUACUGACGUUACCUGCAGAUUGGGUGCAGAGAAUCACAGUAUUUGGAAAUGAUGUCGAUGUUUAAGAAUUGCUGUGUUGAGGUAUAGGAUUUUUCUGAAUAAAGAAAAAAUAACAGCAACAUAAAGGUUGGAUGAUCUGCUCUCACGGUCAAGGCAUCUUGGAAGAUCUGCCUUUGUAGCCGGAACAUCCCGAGCAGCAGCAGCUCAGUCCUGCCGCGCGGCUUCCUUGGCGCUCGUCUGGGAAGACGGCCUGACGUGUUGGCAGCUGGUCGAUAAAGGGUGACUUCUCUCGGGUCUGGCAAGUAAUGCGAGACUAUUUGGGUGUUUGAAAGGAAUCAUUAAAAUGUAUUAAUGAUUUUCAGACAACAGUUGGUCUUACAAUUUGUUUUUCCUUAAAAUAAGUAUUAAAAAGAAAAAAAUCAGAGAUCAAAGUUCUAUUUACUUUCUUAAAAUACCUUUCAGAUCAUGUUAAAUGAUAAGGAGCUAUAUUUUUAAAUAUCACAUUUUUAGAGCAAAAUGGGCACUUGAAAAAAAUAAACACUUAAAGCACAUAGCAUACGUUAAGUAUGCAAAUCGAGCUGUACAGCCCAGUGGAUUACCGUAAGAUAACCGUAGUCCAGGCUAACAAGUAGAGUGAUUCCUGCAUCAGAAGCUUUCUCAUGCCCCUGGUCAGUUAGAUUGUUCAUCCUCCCCAAGGGUCAUCAUCACUUAGACUUAAAGCAGUCUGCAUAGUUAAUGGGAAAAAUUAUAAUUGUUGUGAGUUAAAAUUUAUUGUGAAAAUGUUAAAUUAACUUCUCUUGUCAUAAGUGUCUUAAGAAAAUGAAAAAAUGGUAAGACUAAUAUUUAGUACACUAUGAUUUAAAACAUUAGAAACGUUGAGAGUUAGAGUCUUAUUUCUUGGUAAGAAAUGAUAGUUUGAACAGUGCCUGCUCCCCUUUCGUCCUCUAACUUAAGAAAUGGAGCAAGCGUCUUCUUGAUGCCUUGGUGAAUUGUACUCCGUUCUAAGUCUGGGUCAGUUUCCAACAUUUUACCCUUUGCCUUUUCAUUGUGAAAUUUCUGAGAGCCUCUGCAGGGUGAAGUUCCUGCUGGCCCCUCCCUCCUGAGACAGUCACUCCCUCCCUCACGGUGGUGGGCUUGCCUGCACAAAGUUCUCUGGCUGCUCAGCUCAUCUGGUGUCUCUGGAAAGGCAGCACCGUCAGCUUUUCCUCGGUCAGCUGUUCCUCUGUUACUAUUUACAUUCAGUGUGAAUUAAACUUGUACCAUUAUCA